GAUGAACGCUGGCGGCGUGCCUAAUACAUGCAAGUCGAGCGAACAGACGAGGAGCUUGCUCCUCUGACGUUAGCGGCGGACGGGUGAGUAACACGUGGAUAACCUACCUAUAAGACUGGGAUAACUUCGGGAAACCGGAGCUAAUACCGGAUAAUAUAUUGAACCGAUGGUUCAAUAGUGAAAGACGGUUUUGCUGUCACUUAUAGAUGGAUCCGCGCCGCAUUAGCUAGUUGGUAAGGUAACGGCUUACCAAGGCAACGAUGCGUAGCCGACCUGAGAGGGUGAUCGGCCACACUGGAACUGAGACACGGUCCAGACUCCUACGGGAGGCAGCAGUAGGGAAUCUUCCGCAAAGGGCGAAAGCCUGACGGAGCAACGCCGCGUGAGUGAUGAAGGUCUUCGGAUCGUAAAACUCUGUUAUUAGGGAAGAACAAAUGUGUAAGUAACUAUGCACGUCUUGACGGUACCUAAUCAGAAAGCCACGGCUAACUACGUG
Molecule: ribosomal RNA, 496 nt
Filed under: uncultured bacterium
Lineage: Bacteria
Description: partial 16S ribosomal RNA
Rfam family: Bacterial small subunit ribosomal RNA
Source: RNAcentral